UAAGAAUUUAAAAGUCGAACAGACUUAUUUGUUAGGAGUACUACCUCCUUCAAUUUUCUUAAUUCAACAUCGAGGUCGCAAAAUACAAUAUAGAUAUGAACUCCCCAUCGAAAUUACGCUGUUAUCCCUAAGGUAACUUAAUCUUACUUCCCUUUUUGGGAUCUUAAAUUACAUAGACAAAUGAAAAUUAUAACUAAAGUUAAUUAUUUAGCUGCCACCCCAGCAAAAUAUAAAUAAAAUAUUAGAGAGGUUAACUAGUAAAACUCAAUAACAUAAAUUUAUAUAAAGUUCUAUAGGGUCUUAUCGUCCCAAUAAAUUAAUAAAGCAUUUUAACUUCAAAUUUAAAUUCUAAUACUUAAAGGAAUAAAAUAUAAUUCUCAUCCAUCCAUUCAUACAAGCUCCCAAUUAAAAAACUAUUUACUAUGCUACCUUUGCACAGUCAAAAUACUGCAGCCAUUUAGAAAUUAAACCAUAGGGCAGAAGAUACUUUUUAUAAAAACA
RNAcentral lists this ribosomal RNA (501 nucleotides) under Nesophrosyne monticola. RNAcentral describes it as "partial 16S ribosomal RNA". Lineage: Eukaryota; Metazoa; Arthropoda; Insecta; Hemiptera; Cicadellidae. The record is from RNAcentral.